This 78-nucleotide small RNA is filed under the name Marmota monax (woodchuck). Lineage: Eukaryota; Metazoa; Chordata; Mammalia; Rodentia; Sciuridae. The record is from RNAcentral.
GCUGGACAUGGUGGCGCAUGCCUGUAAUCCCAGUGACUUGGGAGGCUGAGGCUCUCAGCAACUUAGCGAGACCCCUUU